This is a non-coding RNA of Girardinichthys multiradiatus, 620 nucleotides long. The record is from the annotation of a RefSeq genome assembly. NCBI's taxonomy places the organism in Eukaryota, Metazoa, Chordata, Actinopteri, Cyprinodontiformes, Goodeidae.
UAUUUGGAAUAAGUUUGAAAAGUAUUCAGUUCAUUUUUUAUAGAAUGGAGAAGACAGUCAUCUGGAGUUUGCUUUCAGUAAUUUGCAUUCAUGGAGCCUUUAGUGAGAUUAAAAUGGAACAGUCUUCCUUUGAGGUGAAGAGACCAGGAGAGACAGUUAAGAUGUCUUGUAUCAUGUCUGGUUUUGACAUGACAGAAUACUACAUUCACUGGAUACGACAGAAACCAGGGAAAGCUCUGGAGUGGAUUGGGAGGAUGGAUGCUGGUAAGAACGCCGCCAUCUAUGGAAGCUCCUUUGAAAGUCGUUUCAUCCUGACUGAAAAUGUCGGCAGCAGCACCCAGUACCUCGAGAUCAGGACUCUUAACAGCGGAAGAUUCUGCUGUGUCUUCAGUAUUGAUCUGAUCCAGCCAGACUCUAAGGUUGUCCAGCCUGGACAGUCUUUGACCAUCACCUGCCGGCCCUCUAGUUACUGUCUGACUGCUGCAUAUGCAACAGCUGAGCUUCGACCCUCUUCCACCCCAUCUUCACCAUCAGGCUUCAAGCUCAUUCCGACUCCCUUUAUCUCCUCAGGCUUCCACUCCACUACCAGUAUCAGGAUCCCGGGGAGAAGACUUUUCUAA